Molecule: ribosomal RNA, 598 nt
Filed under: uncultured fungus
Lineage: Eukaryota; Fungi
Description: eukaryotic LSU rRNA
Rfam family: 5.8S ribosomal RNA (bases 235-388)
Source: RNAcentral
AAGAGUAAGUCAUGUCGCUGUUUCCGUAGGUGAACCUAAUGCUCGUAGUAGUCGAGAUGUAGGGUUCCUAGCGAGCCCAACCUCCCAAGCUCGUGUUUGCUGACUUAGUUGCUUCGGCGGGCCCGCCAUUCAUGGCCGCCGGGGAUGCUCGCUGCCGGGCCCGCGCCCGCCGGAGACACCACGAACUCUGUCUGAUCUAGUGAAGUCUGAGUUGAUUGUAUCGCAAUCAUGCUCGCUGUUCAACAAUGGAUCUCUUGGUUCCGGCAUCGAUGAAGAACGCAGCGAAAUGCGAUAACUAGUGUGAAUUGCAGAAUUAUGCUCGUAGAUGUCGCUGAUGAUGCUCGUAGCGCCCCCAUGGUCCGUCGUUAGAUGCUCCCUCCGAGCGUCAUUGCUGCCCAUCAAGCACGGCUUGUGUGUUGGGUCGUCGUCCCCUCUCCGGGGGGGAAUGGCUCGCUGAGUAGCGGCGGCACCGCGUCCGAUCCUCGAGCGUAUGGGGCUUAUGCUCGUAGAUCUGCCUGCUGGCCGGCGCUUGCCGAACGCAAAUCAAUCUUUUUCCAGGUUGACCUCGGAUCAGGUAGGGAUACAUGCUCGAACUAGC